AAGUUGAAGGUGGAAUUUAUAAAGAUAAUUCAUCCCCAAAUGCUCAAAUUACAGCAAUAGUUGCACUUUAUAAUUUAGCGAAUGAUAAGGAAAGAAUGACCUCAAUAAUUGAUGAAUCAAGGGUUUUGAUUGUUGUUCAAGUUUUAGGGGACUCGUCGAUGAGUGUUCAAAUAAGAGUUGCAAAUUUGGUGGCUAGAAAGGCGGAACAUUGUCCACUGGCACAAGAGGAUUUUGCAAGGGAGAACGUGAUUAGGGCGCUUGUUAUGUUGUUAUAGUUUGAUGUAUUAAUGGAUGAUCCAAAGAUUAGAGUUGGGAAAUGGAGUAGAAAUC
This 330-nucleotide long non-coding RNA is filed under the name Olea europaea subsp. europaea. The record is from RNAcentral. Lineage: Eukaryota; Viridiplantae; Streptophyta; Magnoliopsida; Lamiales; Oleaceae.